Molecule: ribosomal RNA, 198 nt
Filed under: Paenibacillus piri
Lineage: Bacteria; Bacillati; Bacillota; Bacilli; Caryophanales; Paenibacillaceae
Description: Bacterial large subunit ribosomal RNA
Rfam family: Bacterial large subunit ribosomal RNA
Source: Rfam by way of RNAcentral
AGUUAAGCUAAUAAGAGCACACGGAGGAUGCCUAGGCGCUAGGAGCCGACGAAGGACGUGGCGAACGACGAAAUGCCUCGGGGAGCCGUAAGCAGGCUUCGAUCCGGGGAUGUCCGAAUGGGGGAACCCACGUGAGGUAAUGCUCACGUACCCAGCAGUGAAUACAUAGCUGCUGAGGAGGCAUACGAGGGGAACUGA